UUACUAUUAUCGAUGGUCGUGUCAUGCGCCGCGAUAGUUGCAUGGACAGAUAUGUCCCCCAUGGGUCCCAGACUGAGAGACAGCGGGUGUGUAUCACUAGGUCAGACAUGCAUCAUUAUACUUGACAUUGCAUUACACAUACUUAUCAUUGGUGAACUUGAUAUUGUGUUUUGCUGAUCUUGUGAUUGACUUUCUGUGAAAUUUGUGAUUGAUGAAUACUGAGCUUGUUAUUAAGGAUAUGUAAUUUGUUGAAUUGUUGUUGUUGAGGGUAUGUAAUUAGUUGAAGUGUUGUUAUCGAGGAUAUGUAAUUUGUUGAAGUGUUGUUAUCGAGGAUACGUAAUUUGUUAAAGUGUUGUUAUUGAGGAUAUGUAAUUUGGUAAAGUGUGGUUGUGGAGGAUGUAUAUGUAAUUUGUCUAAGUGUUGUUGUAGAGUUACGUGCUAUGGAAAUAUGAACUGUUAGGUUAGACUGAAUUUUAUGUAGUUUGUAAUUGUGGAGUUUCGGUUGGGGUGGUAGGAGUACCCGUAUUUCAUCCCCUUAGCUUGUGUUUAGACGUUUACUUGCUGAGUACCGUGUGGUUUGGUACUCACCCCUUGCUUCUACAAAUUUUUGUAGGUUAUGAGCCUGGAUUUUUGUUGUACUUGUCAUUCUCUUCUUUUCUGAGGCUUCUUGGAGAUUUGUCAGGUAGUUGAUUCCAUCGCAGCAGACUUUCUUCUCCUUAAUUAUGUUCUUGUUCUAUUCUAGAAACAAGUUCAUUUGAGACUUGAGUUUUCUUUUGAAUCAAUUGUAAUAUUUUAGAGGCUUGUACACGUGACAACUAGGUUUUGGGGUAUAAUAUAAGUCGAUAGUAAAUUUUCCGCAUUUUAUUGUAAUAAGUUGAGUUUUAGGCUGACUUGUCUUGGUGGGAUAAGACAAGUGCCAUCACGCCCAUUUUUGGGUCGUGACAAAAUGGUAUCAGAGCCCCAGUUUCAUAGGUCUCACGUGUGUACAAGCUGAGUCUAACUAGAGUCUUGAGGAUCUGUACGGAGAUAUCUGUACUUAUCUUCGAGAGGCUAUAGUGACUUUUAAGAAAAAUCUUCACUUCUUGGAUCUCAAUCGUGCGUAUUUGGUUUGGUUUUGACUAUCAUCGCUUCAUUCCAUUCCUUCUCAUUUUGUGAUGACUCGUGUGUAGUUCCUCAUGUCACUAGUUGGUGUUACGUAUGGAUUGAAUGAUAGAUUUGGUACUAGGGUUGAAGUGAUAUACUUAUGAAAAUAAUGUGUGGUUCGAUAAUUGAAAGUGAACCAAUUAAACUGAUGGCAAGAUAAUGUUCAAUGCAACUUGAGAAAACACAGUAAGAUAAAUUGUCAUAAUAUGUAUGAGUUGCUUAGUGAAUGAUAAGAAUGUUGUUAUACCAAUUGAGGUCAGAUCCUCUUUUGUUGUUUUAUAGAUUGAGUGUAUACCAAAGGUGGUUAUGAAAUGACUAUUACAAUGGUACCAAUUUCUCACUUGGUUAUAAUUAUGUUUUUUUUGCUACUCUUGUUAUGGACCUAAUCUAUAAAAAAAUGCACAUCACGUUAGACGAAAAGCCGAACCAAUUUGGUAGCGUAUUAUAUAUAGUUAGUUAAUGGCUAGAAACGUGUGGGCUAUUUGGGUAUAAUCUUUUCGCUAGGUAUGAUGUGUUCUAGUGGUGGAUUUAACAGACUUUACAAUAUGGCACUAGUGGUAUAUAUAAAUUGAUAUGUUGAUUGUUAAGUGUGAAUAAAAAAUACCUAGAGAGUUAUUAGUUGUAUCAUUUGUUCAGAUAAUUAGAUUUGGUAUUGAAUAAGGUUUGAGAAACCAACUAGUUUGUUACUACGGAUGCUUGAGCUAAGCGUAAUUUAUAAGGAAGCAUUUAGUGUGGAUCUUCAGUACGAUAUUAAUGUGUUAGAGUUGAGAAGUCUAUUCAGAGGAUUCUAAAUGAGGAUCAAUAAUUUCAUUUUAAGGUCCAAGGGAAUGGAUAGAUACCAUAAUCACAAGCUUGUGGGUAAAUGAAGUCUCAGAGAGUAUACUUGUGUGAAGGGAAUUGAAAAUCUUAAUAAAAAAGUGCAUAUGGUAUUGGGUUAGUCUUGUGAAUUUUAUUUGUAAAGUUGGUUUUGAGAUGUCAUGGCAAUGACAAAGAUUACUCUAUGGUGAUGGCAAGGGCUAAACGAGCAUAAUGGUAGUAAGAGUUUGUGAUGGAUUGAGAUUGGGAUGCGCUAUAUGACAAAGAUAGUUUGUUAAAUGGAUUUUUGUAUAGUAAUGACAACUUGCGAGUAUAUAAUGUUAUGGUUUGCUAUAGUUCGAUGAGUAGUCUUGUUUCAAGUAAAGUUAUAGGAGGUGUUGCAACACUGCUCGAAAAGAAUUUAAAGGAGCUAGAGUCAUAUUGAAAAAAUAAUACUAAUAAAUUAAUUAGCUGAUAUAGUGUAGCCUUCGAAAAGAGGUGAGAGUAAGAAUAUUUUCUUUGAUUGCAAGGGCUAAAGAGGUAUAUUCACAUGGGUUGAGAAUUGGAUUUAGAGACACAUGAUUUCACCCAUAUUUUCUUUGAUUAUGGUAAUAUAUAGUGUCACAAGAUCAUCAGAUUGGUUAAAAACUAUUGGAUAAAUCUUGAGAAAGGAGUGAACGAUCGUUCAUCUCGAGUAUAAUAAUUAGUUUGUUUGUGGUUUUGAGUUUUAUAAUGAAUAUGGUAGAAUUUUAGCGAAAGAUAUGAUAAGGUCGAUGGAGAGGUGAUCAAUGAAAAGCUAAGAUGCGUGAAUUAAAAAAAAUCCUUAAGGUAUGAACUAAUGUUAAUAGAUAAUGGGAUUGUUUUACAUGGUUGGGAUAAAAAAAUCAAAGAUUUUCAUUGUGAGUUAAGAAUUGUGGUAAUAUGUUUUGUCAAGGUAUGAAUUGGUAAGGGGUAAGAAAUGGUUGAUCACAUUGAGUAUGAAGCAUUUGAAGAACUUAAAAAUAAUUUGAGUAGUAAAUUUGGUUACUUUUAAUUGUUAUACCUAAGGAAUGGUUUUAGUUUAAGUUUUUGUUUAAAGGAUAAGGUAAAAAUGUCAUGUGUUGUUGAACAAAGAUAAGACUUGUAAGUGAGUUAGAAAAUAAUAACUAAAUAAAACAAAAUUUUGAUGUAUUGAAGAAUUUGAGAUUUUUUUUAAAUUUCUGUCAUGUGAAGAAUUUAAGAGUUUAAGAAAAAUGAAGGAAUAAGAACUCUCGUAUAAGGCCUUGGUUUGUACUUGAAGUAUUUAUUGAUUUUUAUCUAUGAGUAUAGAUAUGAAUGUGGGAUGUGAACUAGUUCGGUAUAGACUUACAAGAAAGUUAUCAUCGCCUUUUCUAAAGAUUGAAUUUUUUGUUGGGUGACAAGCAAUUAGGUGUGAAAGAUUUAUGUGGUUAUAUCGAGGUGGAUUGUCCCAAUUAUGAUAGGUAACUUAAUAAUACGUAACAAUAUGAACCUAUAGUUAAACAGGGUUAUUAAGGAUUUUGAGGGGAUUGAGAUUACUAUUUUUAUAAGACAACAUAGACUGUCAUGCUAUGUUACAUAGACAUUUGGCAGUGAUUAGAGGUUAGAGCUUAUAGUAUACAAAAUUAUUGGAGUGACCACGGAUUUCGUUGAGUUUUGGCAUGAGGUACAUGAUGGUAUGAAUGGUAGUGGGAAUGUAUGUAAAAUUACGAAGUUGACAUUGGAUGUGAUUCAAUUAGCUUACUUCAAUGGAAAAGUAUUUUGAAAAUAGUGCUAUCAGUAUUAGGUGUGACUCAUAUAUGUCAUGUUAUGCUUAAAUGGAAAAAGAGAGAGAGAGACAGAUUUUGAAAUUUGUAGAGGCUACAAUGUGUUUUAUAUGGAGAUUUUGAUACUAGGGACAGUUUCAGAGUAAGGUAAAUGGUUGGUGUAGUUAUGAUUUUUGUUUAUUUUUAGAGUGUUGGCUUCAAUGGAGUACUUGAAAAAGUAUGUGAAAUUUGAUUAAUCAAGCAUUUGUUAUGUUGUGAUGGGAGGCCAGACUGGUUGAUUGUGGGUGGUUAAAAAUCAAGAGAUGGAGUCAGAUAAAUGGGAUUUAACUUAUAAGGUUCCUAUGGAGGAACAUCUUGUUUUAUUCAACCUUGCUUCCAUAUAUUCUUAUGUGACAAACUACUUCAUUCAGGACAUGAUUUAGAGUAUGAUUCUGAUUCUACGUUCGUGUGUGUUUUCGCUUCUAUGGGUGAAUUCUUAGUGGUGGAUCAGGUGUACCGAUUGUUAGAUUUUUCUCUAGUAGGAUGCCAUCCUUGGUUAAACUUUUUCAUUUUAGAUAUGAUAUAUUUGAUGUUGUUUGAGAUAGUAGAAGUAUACUAGUAAUUCUACACGCACGACCUCUCUUAUGAGAACGUAUAGUUUUCAUGAAUAGUUAUAGUUAUCCAACAAUGUUAUUAAAGGUUCUAGAUCUUAGAAUAUACCACUUGUUAGGUGUUUACUAAUUUUGUUCUUCUUUGAGUUAGAUAUGUUUGAUUAGCCAUUGAUUAGUACCCAAUGUCCAAAGAUUGAGUUUUAUAGAACAGGUUCAUGGGAUAGAUAUGUUGUGAGAAAGGAAUCUUGAAAAGAUUUAUGAUGGUUUGAGCAAUAUGACGAUUUGAUGGUUGCUUCACGUUCGCUGUUAGCUUUAACCAGUAUUGAUUUUGAAUUCUAUCAAAGUAAUGUGACAAGGGGUUUGUCCAGAUGGUGUGUUGUUAUUUGUAAGAUUUCUUUUCAAAUUGAGUUCAUAGGUUAGUCUGUAUGAUAAUCAAUCCUGAUAUGUGAAUCGGUUAGAUUUUGAUUCGAAAGUUGAGUUCAUAGUAAUUGAUUUUGAUGAAAUGGUCUUAAAGAGGAGCUCACUUUUAGAGAUAAAUAUUAACUAUGGAAAUUAUACCUCAGGUUUUGGUAAUGUCAAAUAUUCUUUCUUCUUCUUCCUUAUGUUCAAGGACGAACAUGAUUUUUAGUGGUGGAUAAUGUAAUGACCCGAAAAGUCAUUAAUAGAAUUUUUUAUAAAAAAAAUAUAGUUUCGUCCUCCCGAUAUUUAACCCGUGUCAUUUAUGAUAACUCGAUGAAGUGGGUGUGAGAAUUUUAAAUUAUUCGAUAACUAUAAUUAAUUAGUUGGCAUACAUUUAUUAAGUAAUUGAUUUUAACUUAAUUGAUGGUUAAUGGGCCAAACUUAUAAUUAAUGUAAUACUUAAUUUCACUUGGCCCAGAUAUUAAAAAAAAAGGUUAAUGAAUUUGUUAAUUUCAAUACCUAAUUAUUUUAUUUAAGAAAAGAGGAAGGAAAAGAAAGAAACGGAGAGUAUAAACUCAUCCGUGCGGAGCGUGGACUGCCGCCUCUAAUUGAGUUAAGGUGAGAUUUUUCUUAUUCAAAAGUUGUUACAAUAAUCAAAGUCAUUAAUUACUAAGUUUUUAAAGUAUGAAAUAUGCUAUUUUAGUUGAAAUUAAUGAAGGAGUUGAAGGUUAGUAAUGUUGGCAGAUUAGGUAGUAUUUCUAAUUCUUUUAUUGCUAUGUUACUAAUGAUUAUUGGGGUGCCAUAAUUGAGUAAUUAUGCUUGAGAAUUUGGAUUUAUAUAUAGGGCGUAGGAAUUUGAAAUUCUUAGAUUGUUGUUUACCAUUAGUUGUUCAUAAUAUGAUUUCAGUGUUUUCAAAAAAAAAUCCAUGGUAACAUAUUUGAUUCGAGGUUUGAUAUAUUGUUAUAUCUAAUUAAAUUUUGGGGGUAUUUUAUUGUAAGAAAAGUAUUAGGGUUGUAGUGUUUGGAGAAAUUAUGACUUAACUCAAGGUUCGAAUUUGAGAAAUAUGAGAGUUGGAAUAUUAAUUGGCAUCAAGAUUAGGAACGUGAUUAUAAAUUGGGGUUGAGUUAUUGACUAUACACGUAUAAAUAUGGGUGUUGUUGAUUUUGAAAUCUUAUUGUGAUUAAUUAUUUUGCUAGAUUUAUUUGAUUUGGAAGUUCAACAAAUGGAAAAGACUCAAGUUCUGGAGUAAAUUCUUGUUGGAUUCAGGCCAGUGGAUUUCUAAACUCUUGUUAAGUGUAUGAAAUGUGUGUAUUUCCUUGUGGUAUAUGUUUGGGAGUAACGGGAUUGGUGAUGGGUUGACUUGUCCACAUUGGUUAAUUCUAAUGAUGAAAAAAAAAGGGAUAACAAAAGGCAAUGUGCUUAAUUGUUUAUGUGUGAUGUGUUGAGAAAGGGUUGAAGACUUGUUGAAUCAUUGUUGAUGUAACUUCAUGUUUGUGUGGUUGUGAACUGUGCGACGUUAUGAAAAUGGUCAUCUCCUCAUUAUUUGUGUGAACUUCUCAUCUACAUUAUUCUGAGGCAUCGGUUGUGACAAGUGUUAUGUGCAUUGAGAUAGAAUGGGUACUUAAGAGGAUGUACCAUUUUGAGGGACGUAUCGCGCGCCGCGAUUAAUACUAUAUUUCGAGGGACGUAUUACCCGCCGUGAUGGUUACUAUUAUCGAGGGUCGUGUCGUGCGCCGCGAUAGAUGCAUGGACAGAUAUGUCCCCCAUGGGUCCCGGACUGAGAGACAGUGGGUGUGUAUCACUAGGUCAGACAUGCAUCAUUAUACUUGACAUUGCAUUACACAUACUUAUCAUUGGUGAACUUGAUAUUGUGUUUUGCUGAUCUUGUGAUUGACUUUCUGUGAAAUUUGUGAUUGAUG
This 6609-nucleotide long non-coding RNA is filed under the name Solanum lycopersicum (tomato). Its description in RNAcentral is "long non-coding RNA (SLYC_LNC000412)". The record is from RNAcentral. Lineage: Eukaryota; Viridiplantae; Streptophyta; Magnoliopsida; Solanales; Solanaceae.